AGAGUUUGAUCCUGGCUCAGAUUGAACGCUGGCGGCAUGCCUUACACAUGCAAGUCGAACGGCAGCACGGGGGCAACCCUGGUGGCGAGUGGCGAACGGGUGAGUAACAUAUCGGAACAUACCCUAGAGUGGGGGAUAACGUAGCGAAAGUUACGCUAAUACCGCAUACGAUCUAAGGAUGAAAGUGGGGGAUCUUCGGACCUCAUGCUCAUGGAGUGGCCGAUAUCUGAUUAGCUAGUUGGUGAGGCAAAGGCUCACCAAGGCGACGAUCAGUAGCUGGUUUGAGAGAACGACCAGCCACACUGGAACUGAGACACGGUCCAGACUCCUACGGGAGGCAGCAGUGGGGAAUUUUGGACAAUGGGGGCAACCCUGAUCCAGCAAUGCCGCGUGAGUGAAGAAGGCCUUCGGGUUGUAAAGCUCUUUUGUCAGGGAAGAAACGGUGAGUUCUAAUACAGCUUGCUAAUGACGGUACCUGAAGAAUAAGCACCGGCUAACUACGUGCCAGCAGCCGCGGUAAUACGUAGGGUGCAAGCGUUAAUCGGAAUUACUGGGCGUAAAGCGUGCGCAGGCGGUUAUAUAAGUCAGAUGUGAAAUCCCUGGGCUCAACCUAGGAACUGCAUUUGAGACUGUAUGGCUAGAGUGUGUCAGAGGGGGGUAGAAUUCCACGUGUAGCAGUGAAAUGCGUAGAGAUGUGGAGGAAUACCGAUGGCGAAGGCAGCCCCCUGGGAUAACACUGACGCUCAUGCACGAAAGCGUGGGGAGCAAACAGGAUUAGAUACCCUGGUAGUCCACGCCCU
This 800-nucleotide ribosomal RNA is filed under the name uncultured bacterium. RNAcentral's name for it is "bacterial SSU rRNA". It matches the Rfam family "Bacterial small subunit ribosomal RNA", at positions 8 to 803 of the family's 1533-position model. The record is from RNAcentral.